This 73-nucleotide transfer RNA is filed under the name Cavia porcellus (domestic guinea pig). It matches the Rfam family "tRNA". From Rfam's summary of the family: Transfer RNA (tRNA) molecules are approximately 80 nucleotides in length. The record is from Rfam by way of RNAcentral. Lineage: Eukaryota; Metazoa; Chordata; Mammalia; Rodentia; Caviidae.
UGGGGAGUGGCUCAGUGGUAGAGUUGUUGCCUAGCAUCAUACAAGCUCCUGGGUUCAAUACCCAGCACCACAU